Molecule: long non-coding RNA, 578 nt
Filed under: Setaria viridis
Lineage: Eukaryota; Viridiplantae; Streptophyta; Magnoliopsida; Poales; Poaceae
Description: long non-coding RNA (SVIR_LNC006792)
Source: RNAcentral
GCACGGGUCAUAGGUUGAGGUCCAGAGGACCUAGUGGCAUUGUAUGCCACGUUAUGAUGCAUUUGUUUUCAGGAUAGUGUCCAAAUAUGGACGUAGUAUGGCCCCUAUUUAGACCCCAGCCGCACAUGUGGAUGGAGCUAGGGAAUGUUGUCUAGAGAUAGACGCUGGUGGGUAUGGGUCUCGUAGGUCAGUAUCACAUGAAGAUGAGAUAUGGGCUGAUCAAAUGUAUGGGUAAAGUGUACACCUCUACGCAGAGUAUAAUCUAUCUGGAUAGUCGAGGCUCACGGUUAUGAGCCCACAUAGUCAAAGCUAUCAUCGAUUAAAAUCAUAACUUGAGUAUGGUAAGAUGGAACCGAGGCCCUAAGAGAGUUAAUUUAGAAUAAGGCAUAAGCUGGCGCAGAAGGACCCUAACGGUCUCUGGUGCUCCUUAAAACUUGGGAACUAGUAGGAGAGGUAAGAUUCCCAACUCAAUAAAAAUGAUUCAUACUACUCCUUUCCAAAACUCACCUCACCUUGCAUAAAUAGGUUUAUUGAUAAAAUCAAACCAUACCCUUUCCUUGAUUUUCCCUACAUCUAAU